GACAUGAUCAGGGUGAAAUUGUAGAGC
This 27-nucleotide non-coding RNA is filed under the name Mus musculus (house mouse). The record is from RNAcentral. Lineage: Eukaryota; Metazoa; Chordata; Mammalia; Rodentia; Muridae.